GAACAGCGUCAGUGAGAAAUCCUGCACUGCUUUGGCUUCAGCUCUCUGUACAAAUCCAUCACACAUCAGAGAGCUGGAUCUGCGUUGGUGUAAACUGGGAGACUCAGGAGUGGAGAAGCUCUGUGAUCUACUGAAGAAACACGAGUGUAAACUGGAGACACUGCGGUGAGUAACUCAGUGAUGAAACACUGAACUGAGAUCACAAUCUUUAAUAGUUUUCUGUGAAUCAGAGCUUUCCAGAUGCACACGAACAAAACUGACAAGAUCUUCAUCUCUGUAUUAACAUCUGUGUUUGUGUUACAUUCACGAUGAGUUCAUGAAUCUCUUCAUGUUCACACGUACGUCAUUAUCUCCCUGUCUGCAGGUUAUGUCAGUGCAGAAUAACAGAGAGAGGCGGUGCUGCUCUGACUGCAGCUCUGAGCUCAAACUCCUCACAUCUGAAAGAGCUGGAUCUGAGAGGGAAUGAACUAAAAGAUUCACUCACACAGCUCGAGGAGUUGCUGAAAAGUUCAGGAGGCCGGCUAAUAUGAUAUUAGACCACAUGGGAGAAAAUGAAAGCUCGGGUUUGCUAUUACACGUUACGUCCCUGGUAUUAGAAAUUCUGAUCAGCAGCCGACUUUAGAAAGUGAGUCGUCGACACUGCAGCAUGACCAAAGAGAGGGAAAAAUGGAACUCGUCCCACAGUGAGGAAGCAGUGUGGACAAUGUCUCCAGCGAGCCAGACCAGGGCAGGAGGGGGAACACAACAAAGGACUGCACAGAGAAAAGUCACACCAGUAGUUCACAGAAUCUACAAAAUAAAGGCUACACAAGCGUUCCCACCUCCAAACCACAAAACAACAUGGACUAGAAAAGAACAAAAAAAUCCCUCACCAAUACAGGCUACAAACAUCCUGGUGACUGACGCUCAGAUUUCACUCAGUCCAUUUACUGAAAAGGAAGUUUGUUCUGGUUUCUGUUCCUUUCUUCUGCAAAGGAACUUUCAGAGCUGAACACAGUGAACGGGUUUGUUUAAUAAAUAUCACAUGGACAACUUCAUUUGUAAUGAAAGCACCGAUAACCCUCACUCUCUAAUCCCACACACACUGAAACACACAUUAUGGGAAGAAUGUUAGAAAGUCGGACUCUGCUGUCGUUCUCAUUCACACACACACAGACUUUUUGUUUGUUUUUUAAUAAAUUAAUUUUGUUACAAAAA
Long non-coding RNA from Neoarius graeffei (lesser salmon catfish), 1197 nucleotides. RefSeq lists it as uncharacterized. The transcript has 2 exons. The record is from RefSeq and is a predicted model, not a curated record. NCBI's taxonomy places the organism in Eukaryota, Metazoa, Chordata, Actinopteri, Siluriformes, Ariidae.